RNAcentral lists this small nuclear RNA (303 nucleotides) under Myotis davidii. Its description in RNAcentral is "7SK RNA". It matches the Rfam family "7SK RNA". From Rfam's summary of the family: 7SK was discovered as an abundant small nuclear RNA in the mid-70s but a possible function has only recently been suggested. Two independent studies have found that 7SK RNA binds the CDK9/cyclin T complex (known as elongation factor P-TEFb). Lineage: Eukaryota; Metazoa; Chordata; Mammalia; Chiroptera; Vespertilionidae. The record is from Rfam by way of RNAcentral.
GGAUGUGAGGACAAUCUGGCUGCGACAUCUGUCACCCCAUUGAUCACCAGGUUUGAUUCAGCUGAUCUGGCUGGCUAGGCAGGUGUCCCCCUUCUCCCUCACUGACCCAUGUGUGUCCCUCCCAGAGCUGCAAGCUCGGUCAAAGAGGAUGACCUUCCCCCCAGAAGAGAGGGCUGGUCUUUGGCCAAGGGUAUACCAGUAGCUGCAUUCCCGCUUGAACCUCCAAAUGCUCUCAAAUAAGCAUAUCAUGAAAAACUUCCCAUCAUGUCAGCAGGGAAAUGCAAAUACCACCAUCCACUUAUU